Molecule: ribosomal RNA, 742 nt
Filed under: uncultured Lecanicillium
Lineage: Eukaryota; Fungi; Ascomycota; Sordariomycetes; Hypocreales; Cordycipitaceae
Description: SSU rRNA
Rfam family: Eukaryotic small subunit ribosomal RNA
Source: RNAcentral
CCGUGGUAAUUCUAGAGCUAAUACAUGCUAAAAAUCCCGACUUUGGAAGGGAUGUAUUUAUUAGAUUAAAAACCAAUGCCCUCUGGGCUCCUUGGUGAUUCAUGAUAACUUUUCGAAUCGCACGGCCUUGCGCCGGCGAUGGUUCAUUCAAAUUUCUUCCCUAUCAACUUUCGAUGUUUGGGUAUUGGCCAAACAUGGUCGCAACGGGUAACGGAGGGUUAGGGCUCGACCCCGGAGAAGGAGCCUGAGAAACGGCUACUACAUCCAAGGAAGGCAGCAGGCGCGCAAAUUACCCAAUCCCGAUUCGGGGAGGUAGUGACAAUAAAUACUGAUACAGGGCUCUUUUGGGUCUUGUAAUUGGAAUGAGUACAAUUUAAAUCCCUUAACGAGGAACAAUUGGAGGGCAAGUCUGGUGCCAGCAGCCGCGGUAAUUCCAGCUCCAAUAGCGUAUAUUAAAGUUGUUGUGGUUAAAAAGCUCGUAGUUGAACCUUGGGCCUGGCUGGCCGGUCCGCCUCACCGCGUGUACUGGUCCGGCCGGGCCUUUCCCUCUGUGGAACCUCAUGCCCUUCACUGGGUGUGGCGGGGAAACAGGACUUUUACUUUGAAAAAAUUAGAGUGCUCCAGGCAGGCCUAUGCUCGAAUACAUUAGCAUGGAAUAAUGAAAUAGGACGUGUGGUUCUAUUUUGUUGGUUUCUAGGACCGCCGUAAUGAUUAAUAGGGACAGUCGGGGGCAUCAGUAUUC